RNAcentral lists this ribosomal RNA (599 nucleotides) under uncultured marine stramenopile. Its description in RNAcentral is "SSU rRNA". It matches the Rfam family "Eukaryotic small subunit ribosomal RNA", at positions 448 to 1050 of the family's 1831-position model. The record is from RNAcentral.
AUCCUGAUACGGGGAGGUAGUGACAAUAAAUAACAAUACGGGGCCCAUCGGGUCUUGUAAUCGGAAUGAGUACAAUAUAAAUCCCUUAACGAGGAUCAAUUGGAGGGCAAGUCUGGUGCCAGCAGCCGCGGUAAUUCCAGCUCCAAUAGCGUAUAUUAAAGUUGUUGCAGUUAAAAAGCUCGUAGUUGGAUUUCUGGUAGGAGUGACCGUGCCGAACUUGAUUGUUCGUGUAUUGUGUUGUCUCCAGCCAUCCUCGUGGAGAACUUUUCUAGCAUUAACUUGUUGGGAUUGGGACCCGCGUCUUUUACUGUGAAAAAAUUAGAGUGUUUAAAGCAGGCAUUAGCUUGAAUACAUUAGCAUGGAAUAAUAAGAUAGGACUUUGGUACUAUUUUGUUGGUUUGCAUACCAAAUUAAUGAUCAACAGGAACAGUUGAGGAUAUUCGUAUGAACAUGUCAGAGGUGAAAUUCUUGGAUUUUGAUCAGACGAGCUACUGCGAAAGCAUUUAUCAAGGAUGUUUUCAUUAGUCAAGAACGAAAGUUAGGGGAUCGAAGAUGAUUAGAUACCAUCGUAGUCUUAACCGUAAACUAUGCCGACUUGC